This 73-nucleotide transfer RNA is filed under the name Treponema sp. Its description in RNAcentral is "tRNA-Lys". It matches the Rfam family "tRNA". Rfam says of the family: Transfer RNA (tRNA) molecules are approximately 80 nucleotides in length. Their secondary structure includes four short double-helical elements and three loops (D, anti-codon, and T loops). The record is from RNAcentral. Lineage: Bacteria; Pseudomonadati; Spirochaetota; Spirochaetia; Treponematales; Treponemataceae.
GGGCCGCUAGCUCAGCCGGUAGAGCAUUGCCCUUUUAAGGCAGUGGUCGUGGGUUCGAAUCCCGCGCGGCUCA